Molecule: ribosomal RNA, 473 nt
Filed under: Escherichia coli
Lineage: Bacteria; Pseudomonadati; Pseudomonadota; Gammaproteobacteria; Enterobacterales; Enterobacteriaceae
Description: partial 23S ribosomal RNA
Rfam family: Bacterial large subunit ribosomal RNA
Source: RNAcentral
ACGCCAGUCUGCAUGGAGCCGACCUUGAAAUACCACCCUUUAAUGUUUGAUGUUCUAACGUUGACCCGUGAUCCGGGUUGCGGACAGUGUCUGGUGGGUAGUUUGACUGGGGCGGUCUCCUCCUAAAGAGUAACGGAGGAGCACGAAGGUUGGCUAAUCCUGGUCGGACAUCAGGAGGUUAGUGCAAUGGCAUAAGCCAGCUUGACUGCGAGCGUGACGGCGCGAGCAGGUGCGAAAGCAGGUCAUAGUGAUCCGGUGGUUCUGAAUGGAAGGGCCAUCGCUCAACGGAUAAAAGGUACUCCGGGGAUAACAGGCUGAUACCGCCCAAGAGUUCAUAUCGACGGCGGUGUUUGGCACCUCGAUGUCGGCUCAUCACAUCCUGGGGCUGAAGUAGGUCCCAAGGGUAUGGCUGUUCGCCAUUUAAAGUGGUACGCGAGCUGGGUUUAGAACGUCGUGAGACAGUUCGGUCCCUA